UGGCUCAGAUUGAACGCUGGCGGCAGGCCUAACACAUGCAAGUCGAACGGUAACAGGAAGCAGCUUGCUGCUUUGCUGACGAGUGGCGGACGGGUGAGUAAUGUCUGGGAAACUGCCUGAUGGAGGGGGAUAACUACUGGAAACGGUAGCUAAUACCGCAUAACGUCGCAAGACCAAAGAGGGGGACCUUCGGGCCUCUUGCCAUCGGAUGUGCCCAGAUGGGAUUAGCUAGUAGGUGGGGUAACGGCUCACCUAGGCGACGAUCCCUAGCUGGUCUGAGAGGAUGACCAGCCACACUGGAACUGAGACACGGUCCAGACUCCUACGGGAGGCAGCAGUGGGGAAUAUUGCACAAUGGGCGCAAGCCUGAUGCAGCCAUGCCGCGUGUAUGAAGAAGGCCUUCGGGUUGUAAAGUACUUUCAGCGGGGAGGAAGGCGAUAAGGUUAAUAACCUUGUCGAUUGACGUUACCCGCAGAAGAAGCACCGGCUAACUCCGUGCCAGCAGCCGCGGUAAUACGGAGGGUGCAAGCGUUAAUCGGAAUUACUGGGCGUAAAGCGCACGCAGGCGGUCUGUCAAGUCGGAUGUGAAAUCCCCGGGCUCAACCUGGGAACUGCAUUCGAAACUGGCAGGCUAGAGUCUUGUAGAGGGGGGUAGAAUUCCAGGUGUAGCGGUGAAAUGCGUAGAGAUCUGUAGGAAUACCGGUGGCGAAGGCGGCCCCCUGGAACAAAGACUGACGCUCAGGUGCGAAAGCGUGG
This 756-nucleotide ribosomal RNA is filed under the name Enterobacter asburiae. Its description in RNAcentral is "bacterial SSU rRNA". It matches the Rfam family "Bacterial small subunit ribosomal RNA", at positions 20 to 764 of the family's 1533-position model. The record is from RNAcentral. Lineage: Bacteria; Pseudomonadati; Pseudomonadota; Gammaproteobacteria; Enterobacterales; Enterobacteriaceae.